GAUUCAACGCUGGCGGCGUGCUUAACACAUGCAAGUCGAACGGAGUGGUCCUCCCGAAGCGAAACGGUGCUUGCACCUGAUCAAUUCAUUUGGAUUCACUUAGUGGCGGACGGGUGAGUAACGCGUGGGUAACCUGCCCUAUACUGGGGGAUAGCAGUUGGAAACGACUGCUAAUACCGCAUAAGCGCACGAGAUGGCAUCAUCUAGUGUGAAAAACUCCGGUGGUAUAGGAUGGUCCCGCGUCUGAUUAGCCAGUUGGCAGGGUAACGGCCUACCAAAGCGACGAUCUGUAGCCGGCCUGAGAGGGCGGACGGCCACAUUGGGACUGAGACACGGCCCAAAUUCNUACGGGAGGCAGCAGUGGGGGAUAUUGCACAAUGGAGGAAACUCUGAUGCAGCGACGCCGCGUGAGUGAAGAAGUAUUUCGGUAUGUAAAGCUCUAUCAGCAGGGAAGAAAGGCUCGUAAGAGAGAUGACGGUACCUGACUAAGAAGCCCCGGCUAACUACGUGCCAGCAGCCGCGGUAAUACGUAGGGGGCAAGCGUUAUCCGGAUUUACUGGGUGUAAAGGGAGCGCAGACGGAUGUGCAAGUAUGAAGUGAAACCCCACGGCUCAACCGUGGGCC
RNAcentral lists this ribosomal RNA (624 nucleotides) under uncultured bacterium. RNAcentral's name for it is "bacterial SSU rRNA". It matches the Rfam family "Bacterial small subunit ribosomal RNA", at positions 28 to 621 of the family's 1533-position model. The record is from RNAcentral.